AUUGAACGCUGGCGGCAUGCUUUACACAUGCAAGUCGAACAGUAACAGGCCGCAAGGUGCUGACGAGUGGCGAACGGGUGAGUAAUGCAUCGGAACGUGCCCAGUCGUGGGGGAUAACUACUCGAAAGAGUAGCUAAUACCGCAUACGAUCUAUGGAUGAAAGCGGGGGACCGUAAGGCCUCGCGCGAUUGGAGCGGCCGAUGUCAGAUUAGGUAGUUGGUGGGGUAAAGGCUCACCAAGCCAACGAUCUGUAGCUGGUCUGAGAGGACGACCAGCCACACGGGGAAUGAGACACGGCCAAGACCCCCCGGGGGGGCAGGGGGGGGGAUUUUUGGAAAAGGGGCGGAAGCCUGAUCCAGCAGGGCCGGGGGGAGGAAGAAGCCCUUCGGGUUGUAAACUGUUUUUGUAGGGAACGAAACGGCUCUGGUUAAACCCCGGGGCUAAUGACGGUACCGGAAGAAAAAGCACCGGCAAACUACGG
RNAcentral lists this ribosomal RNA (481 nucleotides) under uncultured bacterium. Its description in RNAcentral is "partial 16S ribosomal RNA". It matches the Rfam family "Bacterial small subunit ribosomal RNA", at positions 29 to 506 of the family's 1533-position model. The record is from RNAcentral.